Molecule: ribosomal RNA, 253 nt
Filed under: uncultured archaeon
Lineage: Archaea
Description: partial 16S ribosomal RNA
Rfam family: Archaeal small subunit ribosomal RNA
Source: RNAcentral
CACCCGCGCCACAAGUGGUGAUCGCUAUUAUUGGGCCUAAAGCGUCCGUAGCAGGCCAUGUAAAUCUUAUGUGAAAUUGUUGCGCUCAACGUAACAGCAUGCAUGAGACACUGCAAGGCUUGGGAUCGGGAGGAGUCAGAGGUAUUUCUUGGGGAGCGGUAAAAUGCUAUAAUCCAAGAAGGACCACCUAUGGCGAAGGCAUCUGACCAGAACGAAUCCGACUGUGAGGGACGAAAGCUAGGGGAGCGAACCG